This 833-nucleotide ribosomal RNA is filed under the name Escherichia coli. RNAcentral's name for it is "partial 23S ribosomal RNA". It matches the Rfam family "Bacterial large subunit ribosomal RNA", at positions 418 to 1251 of the family's 2925-position model. The record is from RNAcentral. Lineage: Bacteria; Pseudomonadati; Pseudomonadota; Gammaproteobacteria; Enterobacterales; Enterobacteriaceae.
CGGGACACGUGGUAUCCUGUCUGAAUAUGGGGGGACCAUCCUCCAAGGCUAAAUACUCCUGACUGACCGAUAGUGAACCAGUACCGUGAGGGAAAGGCGAAAAGAACCCCGGCGAGGGGAGUGAAAAAGAACCUGAAACCGUGUACGUACAAGCAGUGGGAGCACGCUUAGGCGUGUGACUGCGUACCUUUUGUAUAAUGGGUCAGCGACUUAUAUUCUGUAGCAAGGUUAACCGAAUAGGGGAGCCGAAGGGAAACCGAGUCUUAACUGGGCGUUAAGUUGCAGGGUAUAGACCCGAAACCCGGUGAUCUAGCCAUGGGCAGGUUGAAGGUUGGGUAACACUAACUGGAGGACCGAACCGACUAAUGUUGAAAAAUUAGCGGAUGACUUGUGGCUGGGGGUGAAAGGCCAAUCAAACCGGGAGAUAGCUGGUUCUCCCCGAAAGCUAUUUAGGUAGCGCCUCGUGAAUUCAUCUCCGGGGGUAGAGCACUGUUUCGGCAAGGGGGGCAUCCCGACUUACCAACCCGAUGCAAACUGCGAAUACCGGAGAAUGUUAUCACGGGAGACACACGGCGGGUGCUAACGUCCGUCGUGAAGAGGGAAACAACCCAGACCGCCAGCUAAGGUCCCAAAGUCAUGGUUAAGUGGGAAACGAUGUGGGAAGGCCCAGACAGCCAGGAUGUUGGCUUAGAAGCAGCCAUCAUUUAAAGAAAGCGUAAUAGCUCACUGGUCGAGUCGGCCUGCGCGGAAGAUGUAACGGGGCUAAACCAUGCACCGAAGCUGCGGCAGCGACGCUGAUGCGUUGUUGGGUAGGGGAGCGUUCUGUAAGCCUG